This 495-nucleotide ribosomal RNA is filed under the name uncultured bacterium. Its description in RNAcentral is "partial 16S ribosomal RNA". It matches the Rfam family "Bacterial small subunit ribosomal RNA", at positions 28 to 507 of the family's 1533-position model. The record is from RNAcentral.
GACGAACGCUGGCGGCGUGCCUAAUACAUGCAAGUAGAACGCUGAAGGAGGAGCUUGCUUCUCUGGAUGAGUUGCGAACGGGUGAGUAACGCGUAGGUAACCUGCCUGGUAGCGGGGGAUAACUAUUGGAAACGAUAGCUAAUACCGCAUAAGAGUAGAUGUUGCAUGACAUUUGCUUAAAAGGUGCAAUUGCAUCACUACCAGAUGGACCUGCGUUGUAUUAGCUAGUUGGUGGGGUAACGGCUCACCAAGGCGACGAUACAUAGCCGACCUGAGAGGGUGAUCGGCCACACUGGGACUGAGACACGGCCCAGACUCCUACGGGAGGCAGCAGUAGGGAAUCUUCGGCAAUGGACGGAAGUCUGACCGAGCAACGCCGCGUGAGUGAAGAAGGUUUUCGGAUCGUAAAGAUCUGUUGUAAGAGAAGAACGAGUGUGAGAGUGGAAAGUUCACACUGUGACGGUAUCUUACCAGAAAGGGACGGCUAACUACGUG